RNAcentral lists this ribosomal RNA (712 nucleotides) under uncultured bacterium. RNAcentral's name for it is "bacterial SSU rRNA". It matches the Rfam family "Bacterial small subunit ribosomal RNA", at positions 44 to 772 of the family's 1533-position model. The record is from RNAcentral.
UCGAACGAAGCAUUUAAGACAGAUUACUUCGGUUUGAAGUCUUUUAUGACCGUUUGACGGGCGGGUGAGUAACGCGUGGGUAACCUGCCUCAUACUGGGGGAUAGCAGCUGGAAACGGCUGGUAAUACCGCAUAAGCGCACAGUACCACAUGGUACAGUGUGAAAAACUCCGGUGGUAUGAGAUGGACCCGCGUCUGAUUAGCUGGUUGGCGGGGUAACGGCCCACCAAGGCGACGAUCAGUAGCCGACCUGAGAGGGUGACCGGCCACAUUGGGACUGAGACACGGCCCAGACUCCUACGGGAGGCAGCAGUGGGGAAUAUUGCACAAUGGAGGAAACUCUGAUGCAGCGACGCCGCGUGAGUGAAGAAGUAGUUCGCUAUGUAAAGCUCUAUCAGCAGGGAAGAUAGUGACGGUACCUGACUAAGAAGCUCCGGCUAAAUACGUGCCAGCAGCCGCGGUAAUACGUAUGGAGCAAGCGUUAUCCGGAUUUACUGGGUGUAAAGGGAGUGUAGGUGGCCAGGCAAGUCAGAAGUGAAAGCCCGGGGCUCAACCCCGGGACUGCUUUUGAAACUGCAGGGCUAGAGUGCAGGAGGGGCAAGUGGAAUUCCUAGUGUAGCGGUGAAAUGCGUAGAUAUUAGGAGGAACACCAGUGGCGAAGGCGGCUUGCUGGACUGUAACUGACACUGAGGCUCGAAAGCGUGGGGAGCAAA